Molecule: long non-coding RNA, 600 nt
Filed under: Helianthus annuus (common sunflower)
Lineage: Eukaryota; Viridiplantae; Streptophyta; Magnoliopsida; Asterales; Asteraceae
Source: RNAcentral
UUACUACGGGGACUAACCGGGUAAUUAACCCUCUUGAAAAUGAUGGGAGCCAUGCCCUAACUUCCUUCUUCCCACCAGGCAAAUCCCAUCGGCAUCCCCAAACCUUGCCAGCGUUACGAAAUCAAAUCAAGCUUAGUCACAGCGUCGCAACUAGGUCAGGUAAGGUUGAUUCAUGGAUGCAAGAAGGGAAUCAGUGGAGUUAGUUUUUCAAAUGUCUAAUAUUCUUGAGACUGGGUUAGACCGCCACACCCUUUCUGUCCUCAUUGCCCUCUGCGACCUCGGUUUUAACCCCGAGGCACUUGCUGCACUCGUUAAGGAGUUCCGCACUCACCCACCCUCAACACCCACCGUCGUCAAGUAAUUGAUGUAUAUGUUAUUAGCUUUAUUAUGUACGUCUUAUAUCGUUUGAUGAUUUCGGUUGUUUUAUAUUUUGUAGUUAACAUGUGAAAACAUCCUACUAUGAAUGAAUAUUCAUGCAGUUUCUAUGUUUGUGUUUGUUACACACCCACAUUUAUACAUACUUGCUACAUCAUGUCUGCCUAGUACAUAUAUACAAACCCAGAGAGAUGCAUACGUACGUACACUAAGGACACAAACAAA